This 73-nucleotide transfer RNA is filed under the name Stegodyphus mimosarum. It matches the Rfam family "tRNA". Rfam says of the family: Transfer RNA (tRNA) molecules are approximately 80 nucleotides in length. Lineage: Eukaryota; Metazoa; Arthropoda; Arachnida; Araneae; Eresidae. The record is from Rfam by way of RNAcentral.
GCGUUCGUAGUGUGGUGGUCAGCACGCUCGAUGCGCAACUGAGAGCUUCGUGGUUCGAUUCCCGGCGAAGGCG